GAGCGAAGGUGGUAGGUGUGGUAACCUAACAGGUGCCACUAGUCAGGCAAUCAAUCAGCUGGGCAUUUAAAAAAAGGGUGUCAUAGGAGGAGUUGAACGACUUUCAUUGAGCCACUAGAGGGAAGUCACACCUUGUGUAAAAGAAGUUGGAGAAGUCGGCAGUAAAGUGGACCCAACAGCAAAAGAUGAAACGGAUGGAGUUGUCAAAGAUUCAGGACGUCUGAACUGGCUACCUCUACUCAUCACCUUGACUACAUUUGUUUGUACAUUGUUUUUAGUACAUUGUACUAAAAACCAAUCUCACAGCUCACUUAGAUCACUCCAGUUGAAGGAAAGGAAGUAAAGAAAGCGGACAUCUUUGAACUAUUUAGUUGCAUUAGUUUCUCACUUACGAGAAGAUCUACAUAGUACAUGGUAGCAAAACUACAACAAUUGUCCCCUUUUGCACUCCUAUCUGUGAGCUACUAUGAUAUGUCUAGGCAUUCCAUUAAACAGCAAAUCAGAGGUUUUGAGAAAGGCCUAUGUAUAAACCAGACUAAAUAACAGAGUUUAUCUUGUUUUAGGGAGUGGAUCUCAUGACUAUCUGGAUGACUAAAUGUGACGACA
Oncorhynchus kisutch (coho salmon) is the source of this 606-nucleotide long non-coding RNA. RefSeq lists it as uncharacterized. The transcript has 2 exons. The record is from RefSeq and is a predicted model, not a curated record. Lineage: Eukaryota; Metazoa; Chordata; Actinopteri; Salmoniformes; Salmonidae.